UGCGUAGGCGGUUUGAUAAGUCAGUGGUGAAAGUUUUCAGCUUGACUGGAAAAAUGCCAUUGAUACUGUCAGGCUAGAAUAUGGUUGCUGUGAGUGGAAUGUGUGGUGUAGCGGUGAAAUGCUUAGAUAUCACACAGAAUAUCGAUUGCGAAGGCAGCUCACAAAGCCAUUAUUGACGCUGAGGCACGAAAGUGUGGGAUCAAACA
Molecule: ribosomal RNA, 206 nt
Filed under: uncultured bacterium
Lineage: Bacteria
Description: partial 16S ribosomal RNA
Rfam family: Bacterial small subunit ribosomal RNA
Source: RNAcentral